RNAcentral lists this long non-coding RNA (2116 nucleotides) under Felis catus (domestic cat). Its description in RNAcentral is "lncRNA (ENSFCAG00000049729.1)". The record is from RNAcentral. Lineage: Eukaryota; Metazoa; Chordata; Mammalia; Carnivora; Felidae.
CUCAUAGUGUGAUAGAUCUAUCUUAAGUAGAAAAUGUACUCUAUUUAAAAGGGAGAUAAUGUUGUGUGUGUCCUAUUAAAACUUGUAAAAUGUCACACUAAAUGCUAACACUUCAAAUGUGGGGUUGUUUCUAGCCCAUAUUUGAUUUCACCCAUCCAUGUGAAUCCGGCUACCAUUACUGUUUUUUCUCUUCUCCUUGAUCCACUAAUUUUAAUUAUGUAGCAUCAAAGAAAAAAGGUCUGCAUAUGUCUCUAAGAUAUUUUAUUUAAAAAUUUAGUUUUCAAGGACUAGUAUAAAUGUCUGUACUUAACUUUACCAACAGUGGAUUACUUCCAGAUGCAUCCUUCAAUAGCAUCAUGUAAACAUAAACUUCCUUCUCAUAGUCAUUACAGCUAGCAUUUAUUGGACAUUUACUAUGGCAAACAUUGAGCAAAUAUAGUACAUGAAAUAUCUUGUUAAACUGUCACCAAAAACAAAUGAGCUAGAUAUUGUUAUUAUCUUCUUUUUAUGAGGAACAGAGGCACAGAGGUUUAUAUUUGAAACCCAAGUCAUCUGGAUCCAGAGUCUGUGUUCUUGACUACAUUAUGUCCAUCCAUUUAGCAUAAUGCUGUAUAUAAAAAGGGCUCUUGCUAGAAGCACAGUGAAGUGAAAUUGAAAUUCAAGGUUAGUGAAGGACCCUUUUAUUUUGGUAAGUCAGUUCUUCAUAGGAAAACAAGAAAAAAAAAACCACCUUAGUUUGUGAUUUUAAUCACAGACGUCAGUCAUUUCUCCAAGGCAGACUAGGAUUUGCGCAGAUAAUAUUUACUGAAUAUCUACCGGGUAGAAAUUAUACAGUAUUGGGGAAUAUUUAAUUCUCAUGAUUACCAGAGGGAAGAGGCCCAGGAAUUUCAGAACUUUCCUAAGUUUGCAUGCAAAAAUUUGACUUUAAUAUAUAUGUGUACUUUUCUGAAUAGGAUGCUAAGAGCUGUCGUCAGAGUUUCCAAGAAUUAAUGGCAUUGCCCAUAGGAUUCACAACCACUGUCCUGGGGGAUGUGGGCCCAAGAAGACUGGGUUUGGACCUGGCCAUUCGGCUCCAGAGCCCCUUUGGACAAAUGAGGAUUCCAGAGACUUGAGUCCAGCCAACUUUCUCUUUCCACUCAGAAGACUCAUCUAGUAGUGCUCUUUCAACUUUUAAGUAUGAGAAAAAUGAAGGAACUGGAGACGUUUGUUUCUACUCAGUAGCUGUAAUAAGAAAUCUGCAUAUUGGACUUGCAUCUUGAGAGGUUUCAGUGAAAAGCCUUUAACUGAUGGUAAUUUGUGAGUUGGAAAAAAAAACUUUGCUCAUCUGACAAGAACAUUUGGUGAGUAAUCAGAUACAUUCUACAUAAAGACAGAUUGCUGGACUUGAAAUUAAUAUUUUAUUGCAAUUUUAUGUAAUGAAUAUGUUAUUUUAUGACCUGUCAACUGUUUAGCCAUAAUUACAAUUCCUACGUACAGAACAUUCAUUUUGUCCUUCCAAAAGAGCAUCAAUUAUAUUUCUUUUAGACAAACUUCACAAGAACUCUAAUAAGUGGAACUACUUCCUGUUUGCCUUUAUAAUAUUCCCCUAAAAGUCAGCCCUCCUGGUAGUAAAAUAGUUUAUAAUUAGAAAUUCAGAUCAGCCAUUAUACAUUGUUUCCACUUUCAUUAUUUUUGAAAUUCAUGCAACUAAGUGCGAUCAGGCAAAAAACAAUUAGAGAUGUGCUAAAAUACUUACAAAACAUUUAGCUAUCAGAUAUUUUCCCAAGCUGUUUGGUCUCAUGUUUGAAUAGUAUUUUGAAACAGUCUGUAAUGAGAAAAAUUCUAUAUUAAAAGCGCAUACAUUUUGGGGCACCAGAGUGACUCAGCCAGUUAAACGUCUGGCUCUCGAUUUCAGUUCAGGUCAUGAUCUCACAGUUUGUGAGUUCAAACCCCCCAUGGGGCUCUGCGCUGACAGAUUCUCUCUCCCUCUCUCUUUGCCCCUCCCCUGCUCACACACUCUAUCUCAAAACAAAUAAGUGAACUUUAAAAAAAAAGCACACACAUGUUUAUAAACAUACAUACAUGUUGUAAAUAACAGUUAAAUAAAUAACAGAUGUGAACAUAAAGGUGCCUUGGU